Molecule: ribosomal RNA, 253 nt
Filed under: uncultured bacterium
Lineage: Bacteria
Description: partial 16S ribosomal RNA
Rfam family: Bacterial small subunit ribosomal RNA
Source: RNAcentral
UACGUAGGGUGCAAGCGUUGUCCGGAAUUAUUGGGCGUAAAGAGCUCGUAGGCGGUUUGUCGCGUCUGCUGUGAAAAUCCAGGGCUUAACCCUGGACCUGCAGUGGGUACGGGCAGACUGGAGUGCGGUAGGGGAGAUCGGAAUUCCUGGUGUAGCGGUGAAAUGCGCAGAUAUCAGGAGGAACACCGGUGGCGAAGGCGGUUCUCUGGGCCUGUACUGACGCUGAGGAACGAAAGCGUGGGGAGCGAACAGG